Molecule: ribosomal RNA, 428 nt
Filed under: uncultured bacterium
Lineage: Bacteria
Description: bacterial SSU rRNA
Rfam family: Bacterial small subunit ribosomal RNA
Source: RNAcentral
GUCGAGAAUUUUUCACAAUGGGGGAAACCCUGAUGGAGCGACGCCGCGUGGAGGAUGAAGGCCCUUGGGUUGUAAACUCCUGUCAUGUGGGAACAAGAAAGUGAUAGUACCACAAGAGGAAGAGACGGCUAACUCUGUGCCAGCAGCCGCGGUAAUACAGAGGUCUCAAGCGUUGUUCGGAUUCAUUGGGCGUAAAGGGUGCGUAGGCGGCAGUGUAAGUCCGGUGUGAAAUCUCGGGGCUCAACCCCGAAACUGCAUUGGAUACUGCAUUGCUAGAGGACUGUAGAGGAGAUUGGAAUUCACGGUGUAGCAGUGAAAUGCGUAGAUAUCGUGAGGAAGACCAGUGGCGAAGGCGAAUCUCUGGGCAGUUCCUGACGCUGAGGCACGAAGGCCAGGGGAGCAAACGGGAUUAGAAACCCCAGUAGUCC